GUCUACCCUCAGAAAAUAGAACAUCCUCAACUUAUGACCAGAAUCGGGGCCAGAGAUUCCAUUGUUAAGCAAAGGGCUUGUUAAUAUCAUCCAUGGAAUCCAGAUUGAAAGCAAAAAGAAUGGAGAUGGGUCUUCCCAAAAUAACUUUCAAGAGAAACAUUGGGAGUUUGGGGUAUGGGAAGCAACCUUGUGAGGGUGAACUGAGCUGAGAAAAAGUGAUUGGCUCAAGGUCACCCUGCUGGCUUUCAUGGCUAAGGCAGGAUUAGAACUCACAGCCUCCUGAUGUCUAGCCUGGCGCCUUUAUCUUCAUCUUAAUAAGUCCAUCCAAAGUGGUCUCUGUG
Molecule: non-coding RNA, 341 nt
Organism: Pantherophis guttatus
Lineage: Eukaryota; Metazoa; Chordata; Lepidosauria; Squamata; Colubridae
Source: RefSeq, a predicted model, not a curated record